CUUGCUGCAUGCUUUAUACAUGCAAGUCGAACGAAGGCCCUAGCUUGCUAGGUGUCCUUAGUGGCGCACGGGUGAGUAACACGUGGGAACAUACCUUAUAGUACGGAAUAACUGCGGGAAACUGUAGCUAAUACCGUAUAUUCCAGCAAUGGGAAAGAUUUAUCGCUAUAAGAUUGGCCCGCGCAAGAUUAGCUUGUUGGUGAGGUAAAAGCUCACCAAGGCUUCGAUCUUUAGCUGGUUUGAGAGGAUGAUCAGCCACACUGGGACUGAGACACGGCCCAGACUCCUACGGGAGGCAGCAGUAGGGAAUAUUGGACAAUGGGGGCAACCCUGAUCCAGCAAUGCAGCGUGAGUGACGAAGGCCUUAGGGUUGUAAAACUCUUUCAUCGGUGAGGAUAAUGACAGUAGCCGAAGAAGAAGGACCGGCUAAUUCCGUGCCAGCAGCCGCGGUAAUACGGAAGGUCCUAGCGUUGUUCGGAAUUACUGGGCGUAAAGCGCAUGUAGGCGGAACAGAAAGUUAGAAGUGAAAUCCCUGGGCUCAACCUAGGAAUUGCUUUUAAAACUUCUGUUCUGGAAUUCAGGAGAGGAAAAUGGAAUUUCCAGUGUAGAGGUGAAAUUCGUAGAUAUUGGAAGGAACACCAGUGGCGAAGGCGAUUUUCUGGACUGAUAUUGACGCUGAGAUGCGAAGGCAUGGGUAGCAAACGGGAUUAGAUACCCCGGUAGUCCAUGCAGUAAACGAUGGGUGCUAGUCGUCGGACUUUUGUUCGGUGUCGUAGCUAACGCGUUAAGCACCCCGCCUGGGGAGUAC
RNAcentral lists this ribosomal RNA (808 nucleotides) under uncultured Alphaproteobacteria bacterium. Its description in RNAcentral is "bacterial SSU rRNA". It matches the Rfam family "Bacterial small subunit ribosomal RNA", at positions 36 to 883 of the family's 1533-position model. Lineage: Bacteria; Pseudomonadati; Pseudomonadota; Alphaproteobacteria. The record is from RNAcentral.